GCCCCUACGGGAGGCAGCAGUGGGGGAUAUUGCACAAUGGGGGGAACCCUGAUGCAGCGACGACGCGUGGGUGAAGAAGCGCCUCGGCGCGUAAAGCCCUGUCAGCAGGGGAGAAAAUGACGGUACCUGAAGAAGAAGCCCCGGCUAACUACGUGCCAGCAGCCGCGGUAAUACGUAGGGGGCAAGCGUUAUCCGGAUUUACUGGGUGUAAAGUGGGCGCAGACGGCGUUGCAAGCCAGGAGUGAAAGCCCGGGGCCCAACCCCGGGACUCCCCUUGGAACAGCG
Molecule: ribosomal RNA, 285 nt
Filed under: uncultured bacterium
Lineage: Bacteria
Description: partial 16S ribosomal RNA
Rfam family: Bacterial small subunit ribosomal RNA
Source: RNAcentral